Molecule: small nucleolar RNA, 107 nt
Organism: Dendrobium catenatum
Lineage: Eukaryota; Viridiplantae; Streptophyta; Magnoliopsida; Asparagales; Orchidaceae
Source: RefSeq, a predicted model, not a curated record
AAGGCAUGAUGAGGACAUUUCCUAAAAAUUUCCUUAAAUCUCUCCUAACUCUCAUAAAUGGAAUUGCAUUCUAACUGAGUAAAAGAAGUAAUAUCAUAUCUAAAUUU